UCCGCCCUGAGGCCGCUCCCGCCUGGCCUGCCGGGUAGGGAUCCGGCUUCCGGUGAACUCUCGCUCCUGAGGUCACAGCGUCGUGGCCCUGUGGCUUGGCCUGGCCUGCCAAAGGGCGGGACCCUUAGCAAUGGCACCGCCCGCCUGUUAAAAGCUGCAAAAAGGUCGUUGGUCUUUCUCUCUCUGGCCCGCCGCGUCCAGCCCAGCGCUGCCCACUUGGCCUCCUCCAUGGUUUCUGCAGGUUUUUCUGGGAUCUUGGAUGACCCCACUGUCCUCCUGGGGUUCGCUUGCAGCUCAGAACCCUGCCUUUAAUGAUGCCAGUAAGGGUAACCGAGUAUUUCACUGUGACACAGAUUGUUCGUGAUCUGAACGAGGACAAAGGUUAGACCUUGAUUCUCUUCCACCCUUGUACGCAAGAGGAACGAGCCUGCUUGUCCAGGAUUGAAUACAAUGCCAGUGCUCUAGUUUGAACCCCAUCCGCAUGACCUUUACUCAAGAAAGCGGCUCAGACUGUUAGUGUUCAUGGAGAUAACAUCAAGAAUGAGAGUGAUGCCAUAAGACCAGACAAGGAAAAAUGUACUUAAGGAGCCCCAGCUGUACUUAAGAGAAGGAGGAUUAAAAGAAGAGUUGAGUUUGUACAUUUCAUACCGUGUUCUACAGAUGCCAAGAUUUUUCAUGGAAGUGGCAAGAAAAUGAGUCAACCUCUGCCCACCUCCAUGGGAAUUGCUGGAGGACAGUUAGUUAGGUCUCUGGCUCCCCCAUCACCACCAACUCAGUGUGUCCAGGUUCUUCCUCCCUCUCUUUAACCUCAUCAGGAUCUGAGAGGCCAGGUUCUGCUAAUUCGCCAUAGCUGGCUCAGGGUUCCAGCAUCUUCCACAUCAUCCCCUGGCCCUCGAGCAGCCUCUUCACUUCCUGUGUUCACCUGCCUCCAUGUCCUCCUUGCUGGGAAUCUGUGCGCUCAGCUCUCUGCUCCUUCUCCUCCUCCUCUCCACCUGGCCCCACCACUGCUCCGCCAGCCGCCCUCCUGCGCGGGAUGUCGUUAUGGCAACCGACAGUCAGUGGGCCCGGGAGACACCAGGCUGAGCCAAAACUGGCAGGGAGAGACAUGGCGCAGCAUCUGCGGGGGCCCAUAAGGCCAAAGUGUUGGGCUGGCUCCCUCCUGCAGGGAAAGAGAGGGAGGCAGUGAGAGCACGCCGGUGGUGGUGGAUUACCAGGAACGAUUCCAGACCUGAUGGGUUAGCUGCAAGACGGUCUCCAGCCAGGCCCUGGGCGAGUUCCAUGUGACUUUCUGUUUUGCAUGCCCCAAUCCGGUCUUUUGAAUCAAAAUCUCGGUCCCCAGCCCUAAUCUCACAACCAUUAGAAGAGAGAGAAAUGGAAAUGAUUCUAGAUUCUGUGUAGAAAAGUGCAGGAAGAAAAUAGCAUUUGUCAGCGGUCCCCAACCUUUUUGGCACCAGGGACCAAAUUGUUUUCA
Microcebus murinus (gray mouse lemur) is the source of this 1471-nucleotide non-coding RNA. The record is from RefSeq and is a predicted model, not a curated record. NCBI's taxonomy places the organism in Eukaryota, Metazoa, Chordata, Mammalia, Primates, Cheirogaleidae.